This is a long non-coding RNA of Hemicordylus capensis (graceful crag lizard), 366 nucleotides long. RefSeq lists it as uncharacterized. The transcript has 3 exons. Lineage: Eukaryota; Metazoa; Chordata; Lepidosauria; Squamata; Cordylidae. The record is from RefSeq and is a predicted model, not a curated record.
GGGAAAGUGGCAGUUAGUGGGGUGGGAACAGUUAGGAAGGGUGAAAGUAGGAAGGGGAGAAAGUAUGAACUAGAAAGAGAGGAUGGCCGAUUUAGGUGCACUGGAGAGACAGCAUGCAUCCAUCCACCCAAUGAAGCAGGAAUAAGCAGGAAGCUUAUUGAGGAUCUGGGAAAUCACCACACAUAGCUGUUUAUAUUCAGCUCCCUUGAGGACAUCUCUAUCAUGGGCCCUCACAAUUUUUCAGCCAUAGCUUAUGGCAGGCAAUUGCUACCAUCUUCAGAAGCAUUUGUCAUAACCAUGCUCAGGAGACAAAGAUAUGCACAGUUAGUUCCAAGUGUCCAAUGGAUUGUGUAGAUCCCAGAUUAA